CAGACCUGAGUGUGGCAGGACUACCCGCCGAACUUAAGCAUAUUACUAAGCGGAGGAAAAGAAAACAACCGUGAUUCUCUCAGUCAGCGGCGAGCGAAGAGGGAUCCAACUCGUUGCCGAAUCGGUUCUUAUAGGAACUUGAGUUGUGGCAAGAAAGCGUCGCUUCGAGGGCUGGUGCAGGAAUGGU
RNAcentral lists this non-coding RNA (187 nucleotides) under Trypanosoma cruzi marinkellei. RNAcentral describes it as "Eukaryotic large subunit ribosomal RNA". It matches the Rfam family "Eukaryotic large subunit ribosomal RNA", at positions 1 to 186 of the family's 3401-position model. Lineage: Eukaryota; Euglenozoa; Kinetoplastea; Trypanosomatida; Trypanosomatidae. The record is from Rfam by way of RNAcentral.